UAUGGUAAUGUGCAGCAGCCGCGGUAAUACGUAGGUGGCGAGCGUUGUCCGGAAUUAUUGGGUUUAAAGGGAGCGCAGACGGGUCGUUAAGUCAGCUGUGAAAGUUUGGGGCUCAACCUUAAAAUUGCAGUUGAUACUGGCGUCCUUGAGUGCGGUUGAGGUGUGCGGAAUUCGUGGUGUAGCGGUGAAAUGCUUAGAUAUCACGAAGAACUCCGAUUGCGAAGGCAGCACACUAAGCCGUAACUGACGUUCAUGCUCGAAAGUGUGGGUAUCAAACAGG
This 280-nucleotide ribosomal RNA is filed under the name Phocaeicola plebeius DSM 17135. RNAcentral describes it as "partial 16S ribosomal RNA". It matches the Rfam family "Bacterial small subunit ribosomal RNA", at positions 492 to 776 of the family's 1533-position model. The record is from RNAcentral. Lineage: Bacteria; Pseudomonadati; Bacteroidota; Bacteroidia; Bacteroidales; Bacteroidaceae.